AGAAGCCCCGCCCACAGCAUGUCCGGACACAGACUUCAGCCUGUGCAGCCCUCACUAUCUGUAAAGUCUGAAAAAUAAAGAAAUGAUCAGAAAAAUCCUAAAUAACAUGGAUACAGAAGACAUCUUGAGGACUGUUUGUUAAACUCCACACUCCGGCCGCAAGCACCAGCUGGGAGUGCAGAGUCCCUGUGUCCCCGUCUGCCCGCAUGCGAAUCCCGUCACUCACCACUCAGGUCAUUGGAUCCACAUCCAGCAUCGUUACACCUAUAUAUGGUUUAUUCUUUUUUUUCUUGGAUGUGAAGUGUCUAAAAAUCAUCAAUUUUUUACUUUGUUAUUUGUUAGGUUUACACUGUUCGGGAUCAUAAACAUUAUGUUUUAAUAGUUCUUACGUUU
Molecule: long non-coding RNA, 393 nt
Organism: Hyla sarda
Lineage: Eukaryota; Metazoa; Chordata; Amphibia; Anura; Hylidae
Exons: 3
Source: RefSeq, a predicted model, not a curated record